AUACUGUGGAUGCGAGCGUUAUCCGGGUUUAUUGGGUUUAAAGGGUCCGUAGGCUGUGCGUUAAGUCAGGGGCGAAAUGCGGUCGCUCAACGACGGAGCUGCACUUGAUACUGGCGUGCUGGAGUACGGACGCCGUUGGAGGAAUGAGUGGUGUAGCGGUGAAAUGCUUAGAUAUCACUCAGAACACCGAUUGCGAAGGCAUCUGACGAAUCCGUCACUGACGCUGAGGCACGAAAGCGUGGGGAUAGAACAGGAUUAGAUACCCUGGUAUUCCACGCCGUAAACGAUGAUGACUAACCGUCGGCGAUAGACAGCCGGUGGCCAAGCGAAAGCGAUAAGUCAUCCACCUGGGGAGUACGUCGGCAACGAUGAAACUCAAAUGAAUUGACGGGG
Molecule: ribosomal RNA, 393 nt
Filed under: uncultured bacterium
Lineage: Bacteria
Description: partial 16S ribosomal RNA
Rfam family: Bacterial small subunit ribosomal RNA
Source: RNAcentral